GUGGGGAAUCUUGCGCAAUGGGCGAAAGCCUGACGCAGCAACGCCGCGUGCGGGAUGACGGCCUUCAAGGUUGUAAACCGCUUUCAGCAGGGACGAAAAUGACGGUACCUGCAGAAGAAGCCCCGGCUAACUACGUGCCAGCAGCCGCGGUAAUACGUAGGGGGCAAGCGUUGUCCGGAUUCAUUGGGCGUAAAGAGCUCGUAGGCGGUUCAGUAAGUCGGGUGUGAAAGCUCCGAGCUCAACUCGGAGAGGCCACCCGAUACUGCUGUGACUUGAGUACAGUAGGGGAGCGUGGAAUUCCUGGUGUAGCGGUGAAAUGCGCAGAUAUCAGGAGGAACACCAGCGGCGAAGGCGGCGCUCUGGGCUGUAACUGACGCUGAGGAGCGAAAGUGUGGGUAGCAAACAGGAUUAGAUACCCCGGUAGUCC
Molecule: ribosomal RNA, 427 nt
Filed under: uncultured bacterium
Lineage: Bacteria
Description: partial 16S ribosomal RNA
Rfam family: Bacterial small subunit ribosomal RNA
Source: RNAcentral